This is a small nuclear RNA of Lycium barbarum (goji berry), 196 nucleotides long. RefSeq annotates it as U2 spliceosomal RNA. The record is from RefSeq and is a predicted model, not a curated record. NCBI's taxonomy places the organism in Eukaryota, Viridiplantae, Streptophyta, Magnoliopsida, Solanales, Solanaceae. The transcript has a single exon.
AUACCUUUCUCGGCCCUUUGGCUAAUAUCAAGUGUAGUAUCUGUUCUUAUCAGUUUAAUAGCUGAUAUGUGAGUCAUCGACUCACACGAUAUUAACGCUAUUUUUCUAGGGUGAAUGUCCAUCACGAUAGCUUGCUAUAGGGGCCUUCAUGUGUCGGCUUGAAGUUACACUAGUGCUUUGGCCUGGCUCACCCCAU